RNAcentral lists this transfer RNA (72 nucleotides) under Aspergillus navahoensis. RNAcentral's name for it is "tRNA-Arg". It matches the Rfam family "tRNA". Rfam says of the family: Transfer RNA (tRNA) molecules are approximately 80 nucleotides in length. Their secondary structure includes four short double-helical elements and three loops (D, anti-codon, and T loops). RNAcentral also lists the same sequence under 3 other names. Lineage: Eukaryota; Fungi; Ascomycota; Eurotiomycetes; Eurotiales; Aspergillaceae. The record is from RNAcentral.
GGCCGGUUGGCCUAAUGGUAAGGCGUGGCUCUCCUAAAGCCAAGAUUGCGGGUUCGAGUCCCGUAUCGGUCG